ACGGGGGCUGUAGUAAAUUGGGGCCGUGGCGGUGCGAGGUGCGGGCCGGGGUUGACGGACACGGCCGCUCUGAGCGAGGGAGGGAGAUGAGGAGGCGCUCGUUCUGCAGGUGCCGAGCGGGCAGUUUCCAGCUCCAGACUUUCCCUGGAGUGGUAGGUAUGGCUGGCUCCUGAGUCACAGCCCGGCGCUCUCACAUGCCCCGUAGGAGGGUCCCACGCUUUGCUCUAGCUGCUCUCCGUGCUCGCGCACUGCCGGCGUUCCAGUCGAUCAUUGCUGCCAAACCUAAACAGAGCCCCGUGCACUGGGUGCCAAAAAUGUCUGCUGAAAAGUCACCAGGCCGAAGGUCCACGGGGGACGUGAAAAUUUGCAUCGCUGGAGUGGGUCAAGUAGGCUGACAUCAUUCUUGAGAGAUGUUUGUUUGAAGCCAUCCUGUACAUAAAAAGCCUCCCGUGGUGCUUUGGUGCCCUUUUUCUAAUAAUGUUUCUAGAUCAAUUUUCCCUGAAAAUUGUACCAAGUUUUCUUUGCUAUACUGAGCAGCAAAGAGAAAAAAAUAAAUGAUCAACAUUCCUUGACUACCAGCUGCACAUAGAGAGGAGAAUAUUUACCAUAUCCCCUGUUUCUCUGUUGCAUACCCUAUAUGACCAACUCACGUGGAAGCCAUUGCUUCUAAUCCUCUUGUUUAUUACAUUUGCCUCAUCUCUUUCCAGUUUUUCUACAUUUUUCACAGUGCCCAAAAAACUGAAUCCACAUCGUAUGGAGCAGCAGAGAGGAAUUGCUUCCUGUGGUUUUGAUACCAAUUAUAAGACCCCAAUUUUCAGACAAGAUAAUCAGAGAGAAAACAGAGGAUGCAGAGGAUGUGCCCAUUACUGGAUUCCUCCCAGGGACAUGUGACUAGGUGGUGCCUCAUGAUCCAGCGCCAGGAGUGUCUGUUGCAGCCAGUGACCCAGCAGAGGUGACAGGGAAUGUCAGCCUUUGCAGGGUGUGAUGCUGGCAUGAUCUACGCUCCCAGAGCAGUGGUCUAAGAGAAGGAGAAAGUGAUAAUCUGAUGUUUUCCCUCUACAAUCCCAGGGCAUAGAAAUCUCACAAAUAAAGCUUCCAUGUCACCAGGAUAAGAA
Long non-coding RNA from Parus major (Great Tit), 1115 nucleotides. RefSeq lists it as uncharacterized. The record is from RefSeq and is a predicted model, not a curated record. Lineage: Eukaryota; Metazoa; Chordata; Aves; Passeriformes; Paridae. The transcript has 2 exons.